RNAcentral lists this ribosomal RNA (497 nucleotides) under uncultured bacterium. RNAcentral's name for it is "partial 16S ribosomal RNA". It matches the Rfam family "Bacterial small subunit ribosomal RNA", at positions 28 to 507 of the family's 1533-position model. The record is from RNAcentral.
GAUGAACGCUGGCGGCGUGCCUAAUACAUGCAAGUCGAGCGAACAGAUGAGGAGCUUGCUCCUCUGACGUUAGCGGCGGACGGGUGAGUAACACGUGGAUAACCUACCUAUAAGACUGGGAUAACUUCGGGAAACCGGAGCUAAUACCGGAUAAUAUAUUGAACCGCAUGGUUCAAUAGUGAAAUACGGUUUUUCUGUCACUUAUAGAUGGAUCCGCGCCGCAUUAGCUAGUUGGUAAGGUAACGGCUUACCAAGGGUACGAUGCGUAGCCGACCUGAGAGAGUGAUCGGCCACACUGGAACUGAGACACGGUCCAGACUACUACGGGAGGCAGCAGUAGGGAAUCUUCCGCAGUGGGCGAAAGCCUGACGGAGCAACGCCGAGUGAGUGAUGAAGGUCUUCGGAUCGUAAAACUCUGUUAUUAGGGAAGAACAAAUGUGUAAGUAACUAUGCACGUCUUGACGGUACCUAAUCAGAAAGCCACGGCUAACUACGUG